GGAUUCCUUCCAUAGAAGGAUGCUCUCACCAUUGUUCUGGUCUAACUGCCACAAGGAUGCCAGAGCUAAUCUGUCAGACUCCCAGAGGACUGAAAACCCUUAAAGUGCUUUCUCAACUUCUUUGCAAGACAAUAGCAUUCUGAAGGCCUCAUGCAGAGCUGAUACUCCACAGCUAGGAAUGAUCAUCAACAAAUUGGAAAAUCAAAACAGACUCCCUUAAGAAGAAUGCACUGAAAAAAGCAAAAUAAUAAUUAAAGUAAUAAAAAUGUGCAAAAUCCUCA
RNAcentral lists this long non-coding RNA (281 nucleotides) under Monodelphis domestica (gray short-tailed opossum). RNAcentral's name for it is "lncRNA (ENSMODG00000030434.2)". The record is from RNAcentral. Lineage: Eukaryota; Metazoa; Chordata; Mammalia; Didelphimorphia; Didelphidae.